AGCCAACCCUCUCACGCCUCUGAAUCGAUCAUAAGAGCACCACCGAAGACGAUAAGAUGAGGACAGUCGUCAGGAGUCGUGCUUCUCUCCUCCUUACACUCGUCAUCGUCGUCUUCCUCGUCACAGUGAGAGGGGAGACGACCCCUGUGAAGGAAGCGAACCCGCAUAUUCCAUACCAUGCCCUGCGUCCUAGCAGUCAGCCCGCGCGCCCCGGAACACCCUAUACGAGGGGAUGCAGGAACAAUGGCUACUGUCGUCCGCCUUCGUCCCCAUGAUAGGCUACUUCGGCAGCAUGGAGGAGUAGCUCCUUUGACGACGCAAAAGGAUAUAUAUAUAUAUAUAUAUAUAUAUAUAUAUAUAUAUAUAUAUAUAUAUAUAUAUGGCUUAGUUGAUUGGUGUCUUAGGUGAUGCGCAUGGGGCUCAAACACUUAUAUCGACUUCAGUGUGUUUUGACUAAA
This is a long non-coding RNA of Musa acuminata AAA Group (dessert banana), 458 nucleotides long. RefSeq lists it as uncharacterized. The transcript is spliced from 2 exons. NCBI's taxonomy places the organism in Eukaryota, Viridiplantae, Streptophyta, Magnoliopsida, Zingiberales, Musaceae. The record is from RefSeq and is a predicted model, not a curated record.